GACGAACGCUGGCGGCGUGCUUAACACAUGCCAGUCGAACGGAAAGGCCCUGCUUUUGUGGGGUGCUCGAGUGGCGAACGGGUGAGUAACACGUGAGUAACCUGCCCUUGACUUUGGGAUAACUUCAGGAAACUGGGGUUAAUACCGGAUAGGAGCUCCUGCUGCAUGGUGGGGGUUGGAAAGUUUCGGCGGUUGGGGAUGGACUCGCGGCUUAUCAGCUUGUUGGUGGGGUAGUGGCUUACCAAGGCUUUGACGGGUAGCUGGCCUGAGAGGGUGACCGGCCACAUUGGGACUGAGAUACGGCCCAGACUCCUACGGGAGGCAGCAGUGGGGAAUAUUGCACAAUGGGCGGAAGCCUGAUGCAGCAACGCCGCGUGCGGGAUGACGGCCUUCGGGUUGUAAACCGCUUUCGCCUGUGACGAAGCGUGAGUGACGGUAAUGGGUAAAGAAGCACCGGCUAACUACGUG
This 468-nucleotide ribosomal RNA is filed under the name uncultured bacterium. Its description in RNAcentral is "partial 16S ribosomal RNA". It matches the Rfam family "Bacterial small subunit ribosomal RNA", at positions 28 to 507 of the family's 1533-position model. The record is from RNAcentral.